This 827-nucleotide long non-coding RNA is filed under the name Mytilus galloprovincialis (Mediterranean mussel). The record is from RNAcentral. Lineage: Eukaryota; Metazoa; Mollusca; Bivalvia; Mytilida; Mytilidae.
UUUAUUAAGUUAAAGCACGUGAUAAAAAAUAACACAUAAAAAACUAUCACAGUCAAGUAAAUGUAAUUUCUAUGCAGUUGUGAUAUUAAAUGUAUAUAAAAAUAUAAAUCAUAUAUUUAUGAUGUACCAUUUAUAUUAUGAAAGAAGGCACACAAUUCACAGACACAAGCAAAAGUUAUUAUCAAAAGCAAAAACCUAAACAAUUCUAAAAUAAAACGACAUUUAACAAAACAAAAACAAAACUUGAUCACCAAAAGUAAAGUUACUUGUUCUUGUGUAUAGCUCUUUGAUUUUGUUUCCAAAAUACCGCAUAUGGAAAGACAUAGCGCUUGAAAUUAUUUACAUCGACACAUAGAAUGUAAAAAAUAUAAUUGUUAUUCACAUUAAAAGAAUGCGUUGUGUAAUAGCAUAACUGUUAACAAUAGUUAUUUUCCUUAUAAUAUAUCAUUUCAGUAUAUAUCUUGAUAACGUAAUUAUCUAAAAUUCACGUUUCUAUAUUACACUCAUGAAAUUCGAUGUUCCAAAAAUCAAUGAGUCGAUUGAAUACAAGACAGAGACUGUCCUACUAUAUAAAAUUAUCACACUUUGAUAAUUUUUUCUUUGGUACAGGAAUAAGAAUUCAAAUAUCAUAUUUUACUACAUAUUCUGGUAAAACAAAACUUACUAUUAUACAGACACAUUUAAUGUUUGCAAAAUAAUUGUAAAUACUAGAUAAGAAAUAUUAAUUAGUAGGAAUGCUUUCUCUUGUUUUUAAUGUGAACAAAAAAUAGACCGAGGAUUAAUUGUUUAAAAUUCGUUUGCAAUAAUAAAGUUUUGUGUUUAUAACU